This 89-nucleotide transfer RNA is filed under the name Syntrophaceticus schinkii. RNAcentral's name for it is "tRNA-Leu". It matches the Rfam family "tRNA". From Rfam's summary of the family: Transfer RNA (tRNA) molecules are approximately 80 nucleotides in length. Their secondary structure includes four short double-helical elements and three loops (D, anti-codon, and T loops). Further hydrogen bonds mediate the characteristic L-shaped molecular structure. tRNAs have two regions of fundamental functional importance: the anti-codon, which is responsible for specific mRNA codon recognition, and the 3' end, to which the tRNAs corresponding amino acid is attached (by aminoacyl-tRNA synthetases). tRNAs cope with the degeneracy of the genetic code in two manners: having more than one tRNA (with a specific anti-codon) for a particular amino acid; and 'wobble' base-pairing, i.e. permitting non-standard base-pairing at the 3rd anti-codon position. The record is from RNAcentral. Lineage: Bacteria; Bacillati; Bacillota; Clostridia; Thermoanaerobacterales; Thermoanaerobacterales Family III. Incertae Sedis. RNAcentral also lists the same sequence under 1 other name.
GCGGCUGUGGCGGAAUUGGCAGACGCGCUAGACUCAGGCUCUAGUGGGCACUUAAGCUCGUGGAGGUUCAAAUCCUCUCAGCCGCACCA